This 254-nucleotide ribosomal RNA is filed under the name uncultured bacterium. RNAcentral describes it as "partial 16S ribosomal RNA". It matches the Rfam family "Bacterial small subunit ribosomal RNA", at positions 524 to 776 of the family's 1533-position model. The record is from RNAcentral.
GACGUAGGGCGCGAGCGUUGUCCGGAUUUAUUGGGCGUAAAGAGCUCGUAGGCGGUGUGUCGCGUCGGCCGUGAAAACCUGCAGCUUAACUGUGGGCUUGCGGUCGAUACGGGCAUCACUGGAGUUCGGCAGGGGAGACUGGAAUUCCUGGUGUAGCGGUGAAAUGCGCAGAUAUCAGGAGGAACACCGGUGGCGAGGGCGGGUCUCUGGGCCGAUACUGACGCUGAGGAGCGAAAGCGUGGGGAGCGAACAGG